GGGGAUAAAUAAGAACGUUAAAAAUGGCUACAGUACUAACUGGUGAUGGGGCAGUCUUUCAAAGAUCAGAACUGGAAUAUUUCCUGAGAAUGGAAAAACAGAUAGAUACAACUCAUAAUCCAAUGAAAAAUGCUACCAACCCAGAAAAUGGAGACUGUUUUGUGGUCCUCUGGGAGGCAUCUAAAGGCUUGGUAAAAAGAAACACUAACAACAGAGGGUGGAGAACUUAGCCAUUACUGAACUGGUGGAUCUCCAAAGGGAUAGACGCAACUGUUGGUCUUGGCUGUUUCCAUGGAGAAGCAGAAGCCUCCAUAUUUAAAGAUGGGUUUCCCAACCAGGAAAAUACAACUCAAUUAGGUGCCAGGGACACUGCACUGCACAAGACAGACAAGCUUCCUGCUCUUGGGGAAUUUAUAUUCUAGCUUCUGUCUGGUGAAUAGAUGAAAAGAGAAUUGAGAGACCAUUUAGAAGUGUCUGCACAAGACCGGAAGUGGGCAGUGCCCCUUUUGUAAUCGUCCUCAUAGAUUACAGACUACUGAGUUGAGAAAGACCAUCUAAUCAGACCUCCUAACUUGAUACGAUAUGAAGAAUUAGACCCACAGUGGAUGAUUUGCCCGGUGAAUCGUGCCUCCGUCCACAAAUACUCAGGAUUCUCCUUCCCAGUGCAUUCUCCUUGAGCCCAUAAGGCUUCAGGGACACCGGACUGGAGAGGCAGCAGGGAGGAUGCCCUGUGAAAUCUGGGUUUCCCACUAAGCCACGAGCCUGUGGUUAUCCUGAGCAGCUGCAGCGUGAUAAAGCAUUGUGGGAAUCGGGGAGAUUCCACUGUGAGCAAGUGGUAGGAGAGUGAUCCCACGCUGUGAUUUGGUCCGAAGCUUCUCCGUGCCUCGGAAGGCUGAAAAGCUUUAAUUUUCCAAAGAGCAGUUUGUUCCACUUUUCUGCGCUUCUCUAGAUUCCAGAAGUUGCAAGAGCGGUAUUUGUGACCCCAGCAUUUGAGUUUCUACAAAGUAUGAAUGGCCAAACUCACUUAGCAGAGAGGUACGAUUAAUGGCAAGAGGCAGCUAUGUCCUUCAGCAGGAUCCAUUCUGCCAGUCUUGGAGACUCGUUUCUACCUUGGCAUUCUUCUGGACAAUUACUCUCUCUGACUACAAAAAGUAUCUCGAAGUUGAUGUCAUAUUCAAUAACCCUGUAGUUGAAAAAUCUAUAUAUGAUGGAUGAAGUUUGGACUAUCUUGAAUUUAAUUCCUCCUGUGCCAGCUUCUACGGGCCCUGGUGUGCCUGUCAUUUUGAGCCGACGAACACACGUGGUUACAGAAGAGCAAACCUCCCCACCUUGGUUUAUGCAUCCCUAAUUUGAAAUGGAGAAGAACUGUUCUGGGAAGAGUACAGGACCGAAUGAAACCGAUCAGGCAGGCUCCAAGAAGUGCCUGGAUGUUGUAAUAACUUGGGUGUCAAGAACCCGCUAAAGGGGAACUAUCAUUUCCAUGAUAGAGCAAGGGGUGUCUAAGCCUACUGAGAGCCUUGGGGCCACAACAUCACUGGGGAAGCGGACCAACCCGUGGCCACUCAAAAGCGGUACUAAUGACCAAGUGCCCUGGAGCCCAAGCCGGCCUCCGGCAUGGGCUUCUGCACAACAAAAGACAGAAUGGCAAGAGAGCGAAAGUGAUGGGGACAGGAGUGACCAGCAUCCCUAAGAGCCAGCCCUUCGAGCUCCACCAAAUGGCAGAAGAACUGUGGGGACACUCUCUGGGUCACAGGGACCGGAGAACAACACGGUUUACGCAUAGACCAGAGGUGCCCUCAGCGCACAGAAUCCGAGGACACCCUGGCCCACAUCCGCUUCAGCCGUCCAGACAUGGCACUCUCUGUGUGGAAAGCCCUGGGGUCCCCAGCCCAUGCCCGUCACAGCUCAAGCCAGCCAGCAGAGAUCGCCAAGCACACACCAUCUACCUGGAGGAUGACCAUAUACAGGAUAAUUCCUUCAGGUUUAGGAGAAGUAACUGUUACACCUAAUCCACAGAAACAAACACAGAAUGUUAAGCAAAACAGGGA
Lynx canadensis (Canada lynx) is the source of this 2048-nucleotide long non-coding RNA. RefSeq lists it as uncharacterized. The transcript is spliced from 12 exons. NCBI's taxonomy places the organism in Eukaryota, Metazoa, Chordata, Mammalia, Carnivora, Felidae. The record is from RefSeq and is a predicted model, not a curated record.